This 502-nucleotide ribosomal RNA is filed under the name uncultured Glomeromycotina. RNAcentral's name for it is "partial small subunit ribosomal RNA". It matches the Rfam family "Eukaryotic small subunit ribosomal RNA", at positions 591 to 1092 of the family's 1831-position model. RNAcentral also lists the same sequence under 1 other name. The record is from RNAcentral. Lineage: Eukaryota; Fungi; Glomeromycota.
CCAAUAGCGUAUAUUAAAGUUGUUGCAGUUAAAAAGCUCGUAGUUGAAUUUCGGGAUUCGUCGGUUGGUCGGGCUUCACUGUCCGCACUGACCUGACGGGUUCCUACCUUCUGAAUAACCAGCAUGCUAUUAAGUUAGUGCGUUGGGGAAGCAGAGCUAUUACCUUGAAAAAAUUAGAGUGCUUAAAGCAGGCUUGUGCUUGAAUAGAUUAGCAUGGAAUAAUAAAAUAGGACGGCAUGGUUCUAUUUUGUUGGUUUCUAGGAUCACCGUAAUGAUUAAUAGGGAUAGUUGGGGGCAUUAGUAUUCAAUUGUCAGAGGUGAAAUUCUUGGAUUUAUUGAAGACUAACUUCUGCGAAAGCAUUUGCCAAGGAUGUUUUCAUUAAUCAAGAACGAAAGUUAGGGGAUCGAAGACGAUCAGAUACCGUCGUAGUCUUAACCAUAAACUAUGCCGACUAGGGAUCGGACGAUGUUAAUUUUUUAAUGACUCGUUCGGCGCCUUACG